UUCCGGUUGAUCCCGCCGGAGGUUACUGCUAUCGAGGUUCGACUAAGCCAUGCGAGUCGAAUGCCGCAAGGCAUGGCGUACUGCUCAGUAACACGUGGACAACCUACCCUUAGGACUGGGAUAACCCCGGGAAACUGGGAAUAAUCCCCGAUAGUCCUCGAAGGCUGAAUGCAUCGAGGGCGAAAGCUCCGGCGCCUAAGGAUGGGUCUGCGGCCUAUCAGGUAGUAGUGGGUGUAGCGUACCUACUAGCCUACGACGGGUACGGGUUGUGAGAGCAAGAGCCCGGAGAUGGAUUCUGAGACACGAAUCCAGGCCCUACGGGGUGCAGCAGGCGCGAAAACUUUACAAUGCUGGCAACAGCGAUAAGGGAACCUCGAGUGCCAGGUUACAAAUCUGGCUGUCGAGAUGCCUAAAAAGCAUUUCAUAGCAAGGGCCGGGCAAGACCGGUGCCAGCCGCCGCGGUAACACCGGCGGCUCGAGUGGUAACCGUUAUUAUUGGGUCUAAAGGGUCUGUAGCCGGCCGGAUAAGUCUCUUGGGAAAUCUGGCAGCUCAACUGUCAGGCUAUCAGGAGAUACUGUCUGGCUCGAGGCCGGGAGAGGUGAG
This 604-nucleotide ribosomal RNA is filed under the name uncultured archaeon. Its description in RNAcentral is "bacterial SSU rRNA". It matches the Rfam family "Archaeal small subunit ribosomal RNA", at positions 1 to 612 of the family's 1478-position model. The record is from RNAcentral.